ACAACGCUGGCGGCAUGCCUAACACAUGCAAGUCGAACGAAGGCUUCGGCCUUAGUGGCGCACGGGUGCGUAACGCGUGGGAAUCUGCCCUUGGGUUCGGAAUAACUCAGAGAAAUUUGAGCUAAUACCGGAUGAUGACGUAAGUCCAAAGAUUUAUCGCCCAAGGAUGAGCCCGCGUAAGAUUAGCUAGUUGGUGGGGUAAAGGCCUACCAAGGCGACGAUCUUUAGCUGGUCUGAGAGGAUGAUCAGCCACACUGGGACUGAGACACGGCCCAGACUCCUACGGGAGGCAGCAGUGGGGAAUAUUGGACAAUGGGCGAAAGCCUGAUCCAGCAAUGCCGCGUGAGUGAUGAAGGCCUUAGGGUUGUAAAGCUCUUUUACCAGGGAUGAUAAUGACAGUACCUGGAGAAUAAGCUCCGGCUAACUCCAUG
This 431-nucleotide ribosomal RNA is filed under the name uncultured bacterium. RNAcentral describes it as "bacterial SSU rRNA". It matches the Rfam family "Bacterial small subunit ribosomal RNA", at positions 32 to 507 of the family's 1533-position model. The record is from RNAcentral.